RNAcentral lists this ribosomal RNA (401 nucleotides) under uncultured bacterium. Its description in RNAcentral is "bacterial SSU rRNA". It matches the Rfam family "Bacterial small subunit ribosomal RNA", at positions 29 to 417 of the family's 1533-position model. The record is from RNAcentral.
AGCGAACGUUAGCGGCGGGCCUAACACAUGCAAGUCGAGCGAGAAAGUGGCUUCGGCCAUCAGUAAAGCGGCGGACGGGUGAGUAACACGUAGGUAAUCUUCCCUUGAGCGGGGGACAACGUUUCGAAAGGAACGCUAAUACCGCAUAAGUUUCCGAGGCCUCCGGGUUUUGGAAGGAAAGCUAGGUCGCAAGAUCCGGCACUCGAGGAGGAGCCUGCGUCGCAUCAGCUAGUUGGUGGGGUAANGGCCUACCAAGGCGAAGACGCGUAGCUGGUCUGAGAGGAUGAUCAGCCACACUGGGACUGAGACACGGCCCAGACUCCUACGGGAGGCAGCAGUGGGGAAUAUUGGACAAUGGGCGCAAGCCUGAUCCAGCCACGCCGCGUGAGUGAUGAAGGCCU